CGAAGCUGUAAAUAAAAGCAGUACAAUUUUUCUCUCAAACUAUUUCUAAAUUCUCCGAUAGCACAAUGAUAGGUUCACUUAAUAGAUUGGUACAGACUUUCCUUAGGGGAAACUAAAGGGUUUUAUUUAUUUAUUUUUACCUCUCUGAGUCAAAAGUUGAUAAUGCAGAAAUAUUACACAAAUACCAUGACUACAGCAUCUUUUCUUUUUAUUGGACAGCAGUUGUGGUUUGAAAAGUAACUGUCUUCGGAAAGUUUUAAAGACUUCAUGGCAAUGGCUGAAGCUAUGUGGACUCUCCAAAUUACCUAAUGGAAUAGCAUAUAAGAGGACCCCAGUGGCUCAGUGGUAAAGAAUCUGCCUGCCAAUGCAGAAGACUCAAGAGACUCGGGUUUCAUCUCUGGGUUGGAUAUAUCCACUGGAAUAGGAAAUGGCAACUGGCUCCAGUAUUUUUGCCAGGAAAAUUAUGUGGACAGAGGAUCCUGGCAAGCUACAGUCCAUGAGGUCGCAAAGAGUCGGACACGACUGAGCACACAAGCACGAGUGGC
This 545-nucleotide long non-coding RNA is filed under the name Bos indicus x Bos taurus (hybrid cattle). RNAcentral's name for it is "lncRNA (ENSBIXG00005020516.1)". Lineage: Eukaryota; Metazoa; Chordata; Mammalia; Artiodactyla; Bovidae. The record is from RNAcentral.